UUUAUUUUAUUGGCUUCCAUGUGAUGUUUUUUUUAAUGAUUCAAGCGGGUGGUUUUGUAAGUACCUUGUGGGAAAAUUAGAUAAAGGCAUUUUGAAUGCAGUUGAACUAUUUGAUGAAAUGUCCAAGAGAUGGAGUGAGGGCAAUAUGGGCACUCUAUUUGUUUGCUACUCCAGUUAUCACCCAAGACUGAGAACCUGCAGCUUGUAUUGCAAUGGCCUUCGAUUAAAUGCCAAAAGUCCAGUUGCAUCUCAUGUCCUAAUCAAAUUGUUUUCACCUUACUCGGAAUGUGACCAGGAAAUCUCUCAGCACAAGUAACAUGCAAUGCUCCUAUGCAAGCUGCAAAGUUUAACAUGAAUCUGGUCAAGUGAGUAAAGAUGACAAUAAAUAGUCAAAUGGAGCAAUUUGGAGCAGUUUUGGACUUGGAUUGGAUAGCAUGCAUAGAUAGCAUAUGGGCUGGACGUUUUGGUGUUUAAAAGGAUGAAAGGGCUUGAAGAAAUCAUCUUAUUUUGAAUACUUUAAGAGCCUAAAAUGGAUAGUUGGAAGCCCAACUCGCCCAAGACCAGACCAUAGCCCACAAGUGGCCCAAGAUCCGCCAGAAAAGGCCCUCGUAAAACAGCCAACUUGCGAGCUUUGCCCCGAAGUGCUCAGAAUGAAUUAGAAAAUGGGCCAUAUAUGGUUGGAAAGUCGUGGAAGUCUUCUUUCUCAUGGUCUUUACAAAUUGUGAUUCGGAGGUUUCUACAAGAAAUUAUGAUAGAAAAGAUGAGUUGUUCAGUUACAAAAAGUCUCAUUGAAUACUUAUUCAUGAUGUACUUUCCCUUCAAUUAAGGGACUUUGCUUUUCUUGUUAUUGUAAAUAGAUAUGGAGUGUUUUAAGGAGUGCCUUAAUGAGUGCUUUAAGGAGUGCUUUAAGGAGUGUUUCAA
This is a long non-coding RNA of Malus domestica (apple), 921 nucleotides long. RefSeq lists it as uncharacterized. The record is from RefSeq and is a predicted model, not a curated record. Lineage: Eukaryota; Viridiplantae; Streptophyta; Magnoliopsida; Rosales; Rosaceae.